This 346-nucleotide long non-coding RNA is filed under the name Elaeis guineensis (African oil palm). Its description in RNAcentral is "long non-coding RNA (EGUI_LNC055015)". The record is from RNAcentral. Lineage: Eukaryota; Viridiplantae; Streptophyta; Magnoliopsida; Arecales; Arecaceae.
GGAGUGGUCAAUCCCAUCUCGAUCACACUCUGACUUCGCAAGUACUUGACUGUGCCCAGAAGCCUUCCGUCCCUGAAUUAGAAAUUCAGUUAGUCCAGUACCAAAGCACAGUGAGUUGCUUGCAAGUCACUGAGGCGAUCUCAAGUCUAAGGGACACUUAUACCUAUAUCCCAUCAGAGAUAUUCUCGACAGCAGAAUGCUCUGGAGUUGAUCACGUUCAAUGACGAUGUACCCUUACAUCUCACCUGUAUGCCAUACCAGUGUCUCCAUACUCUUUGGUUAAGAGGACAACCAACCCAUAUGGCCUACAGCGACCUAUGCUCGAUAGAAGCUGUCGUCCUUAUUA